AUUAGAACUGGAGUUAAAAAAGGGAUUAGUAAUUUAAGAUAGAGGGUGAAGAAGAGAGGCUUAUCAAUUCGGCAAAGGCAGCAAAAACGUUAUCGGAGAAACUUAGCAGCAAAAGCCAAUGUGGUAUGCAUUUGAAGUGGACAGAGAGCGGGUGAAGUCUCCCAGCGUUGAAAAUAGGGAAUUUGGUUGGGGUUUUGAGAGAGUUGAAGUCUUCCUUCAUUACUAAUUUGUUCUAGCAUUUAUAAUUACACCUACUUCUCCUCCACCUCUCUCUGCUCUCAUUCUCACCCACUCUCACAACAAUUAUCAGUCACAAAGGACAAAAAAGGAAGCGAAAGAAUAUCCCUAAAGUCUCGAAUCAUCUUCAUUUAAUGCAUAUCAGAAUGCUAAUUUCCUCUCUUUCUUAAAAACUUUCUUGAUUUUUUUUUCUAUCUCUAAUUCCCCCAAAGGCCCGAGCUUUCUGCAACUAUGGGGAAUCGGUUUAUUUGCAUGCUUAAAAAGGAUGCCAAAGAUAAUCACGGAUCGAGAAGCAAGAGAUUGGGUAGGUCCCAGAGAAAAUUGUCAGCCGAGGAAGAGGUCCUCCACAGACAAGCUCUCUCCAUGGCACUUCAUCAGCACCAAUUGUCUCAAAGAUUUGAUGGAUCCAUGUCCAGGAGGAUUGGCUCCACCAGCUCUCGCAGACGAAAUCUAUCUGAUCCUUUCUCUAACGGAAAACAGGUUGUCACUCGUUCUUGAUCGAGACACCUUAGCUUUCUUGAUUAUAUGCUCUUCUUUUUCCUUUUUUAAAGUAAAAAGAGUUUCCUUCAUGAUUGGAUCUGUAAUGAAAAGUAAAUAAAAAAAAUUUAAAAGAAAAGUCUCUCUAAUGAAGCUUUUAAGCAACUUCUAAUUACUAAUUAGUCAUGGUCAAGUCUCAAAGCGAUACUUUUCAGUGCAUUUACAUGAAAGAAAAUAAAGCAUUCUUCUUCUUCUUCUUCUUAAUAGAAUACUUCAAAAGUUAUGAUUAUAUAAAUAAAUGACAAACAGCCUUCAAAAGUGCGUCAGGAAAAGUAUGGAAAAGUGAUUCUCCAAUAUUUACCCAUUUUAGAUUGGAAUAGAUAGAUAUGUCCAAACAACUGCCCCCAUUAAGUCCCCUUUUUAAAUACCAAUUUAUAUAGUGAUUCAAGUUUAUAUUUUUAAUUUUGUUGUAAAUACUUUUCAGGUGCCAGACUUUCUGGAAAAUAUCAAGUUAAAGAAGUUCAUACUGAUACAUGGAGAAGGGUUUGGAGCUUGGUGUUGGUACAAAACAAUUGCCCUGUUGGAAGAAGCAGGAUUGCUUCCCACUGCCAUAGAUCUCAUAGGAUCUGGUAUUGAUCUGACAGAGACAAACAGUGUCACAACAUUGAAAGACCACUCCAAACCUUUGCUUGAUUAUUUGGAAAAUGUUUCUGAGGAUGAAAAGGUUAUUUUGGUUGGUCAUAGUACUGGAGGUGCAAGUGUCUCUUAUGCCCUGGAGCAUUUUCCACACAAGAUCUCGAAAGCUAUUUUUAUCUGUGCUACAAUGGUGUCUGAUGGUCAGCGGCCUUUCGACGUGUUUGCUGAAGAGCUUGGAUCUGCUGAACGUUUCA
RNAcentral lists this unclassified non-coding RNA (1604 nucleotides) under Hevea brasiliensis (rubber tree). Lineage: Eukaryota; Viridiplantae; Streptophyta; Magnoliopsida; Malpighiales; Euphorbiaceae. The record is from RNAcentral.